This 407-nucleotide ribosomal RNA is filed under the name uncultured bacterium. RNAcentral's name for it is "partial 16S ribosomal RNA". It matches the Rfam family "Bacterial small subunit ribosomal RNA", at positions 28 to 526 of the family's 1533-position model. The record is from RNAcentral.
GACGAACGCUGGCGGCGUGCCUAAUACAUGCAAGUAGAACGCAGUUGCGAACGGGUGAGUAACGCGUAGGUAACUGCCUCAUAGCGGGGGAUAACUAUUGGAAACGAUAGCUAAUACCGCAUACUGUGAGAUGGACCUGCGUUGUAUUAGCUAGUUGGUGAGGUAAAGGCUCACAAAGGCGACGAUCCGUAGCUGGUUUGAGAGGACGACCAGCCACACUGGGACUGAGACACGGCCCAGACUCCUACGGGAGGCAGCAGUGGGGAAUUUUGGACAAUGGGGGAAACCCUGAUCCAGCCAUCCCGCGUGUGCGAUGAAGGCCUUCGGGUUGUAAAGUACUUUCAGCGGGGAGGCGUUACUCGCAGAAGAAGCACCGGCUAACUCCGUGCCAGCAGCCGCGGUAAUAC